AGAGCUAGGAGGACAGAGAGAGAGUGAAGCAGUAUUUCACUUGGUCAGGAAACCGUCUCCAAAAGAGGUCAGAGCCGUAUCAGGAGCCAAGCAGGAGUUGUGACAGGAGAGGAGAGCCAAUCAGAGGAGAGAGAUGUUGGUGCAGGGCGGGCCUUGGGUCCUGUCUGUCAUGUCAUUGCUCCUGCUGCGGUGGCAAGAAAUGUCUGCUAUCGAGGUUCCUCUUGAUCAAAAGAUCCAGCAGGAUUUGAAGCAGCCUCCCACCAUAAUGAAACAGUCAUUGAAGGACUACAUUGUUGAUCCCAGAGAUAACAUCAUCAUUGAAUGUGAG
Long non-coding RNA from Oncorhynchus masou masou (cherry salmon), 328 nucleotides. RefSeq lists it as uncharacterized. The transcript has 4 exons. The record is from RefSeq and is a predicted model, not a curated record. Lineage: Eukaryota; Metazoa; Chordata; Actinopteri; Salmoniformes; Salmonidae.